Molecule: unclassified non-coding RNA, 262 nt
Filed under: Linnemannia exigua
Lineage: Eukaryota; Fungi; Mortierellomycota; Mortierellomycetes; Mortierellales; Mortierellaceae
Also listed under: 1 other name
Description: partial internal transcribed spacer 2
Source: RNAcentral
AACACCUCAAAACUCUUGAUCUUUUUCAAGCGUUUUGGACUUGAGCAAACCCAACGCCUUUUCUUUUAAGAUCUGUUGCGGCGGGUUGCUUGAAAUGCAGGUGCAGCUGGACAAUCUCCUGAGCUAAAAGCAUAUUUAUUUAGUCCCGUCAAACGGAUUAUUACUUUUUGCUGCAGCUAACAUAAAGGGAGUUUUGACCAUUAUGGCUGACUGAUGCAGGAUUUCACAGAGAAAAGGCCGGCAACGGUUUUGUCUCUGUCAA